RNAcentral lists this long non-coding RNA (658 nucleotides) under Rattus norvegicus (Norway rat). Its description in RNAcentral is "long non-coding RNA NONRATT018348". The record is from RNAcentral. Lineage: Eukaryota; Metazoa; Chordata; Mammalia; Rodentia; Muridae.
UAUUACUUUGUGUCAGUCUGCAGUGCUGAGGAGGGGCUGGCUAUGGGCUCAUUCACCUCUUAGGGGCUAUUUUCACCCCUAAGAGAUGGGGACUCUUCAGUUUUGGCAGUAGCAGCAUGUUUGUUCUCGCUUAAUGUUUAAUAAGAAAACAGCUCCAGCUUGGCCCUCCCAAGGGAUACAUCUCAGGCAGCAAUGUCAUCUUACUGUCUGUGCUCACACUGAAAGCAUCUUGCUACAGAGGCCAGUCAGCCCAGACUCCAGGGCUCCUGUGCAUUAGCUGCACAUCCAGUUCUCCAGCUGCAAGUGGUAGACCAGAAGUGCCCAUGGGAUGCACACCACAGAGUAAACAGACAGAGCCACUGGGGAAGGAAGCAUUGUCUUGAAGGCAGACAUGGACCUGUAGCUCCUGAGUGUUUUCUCUCUCACAUCUCUGAUGAAUCUACUUGCUAAUACCCUUCUAGAUUUAGACCAAAAACUGGGAAGAUCCCUUUAGCCUAAGAGAAAGUAACUUUAAAAAAAAAAAUUGGAUUUUUUCUUAUGUAUUUACAUUUCAAAUGUUAUCCCCUUUCCCCCUCCCCGAGUAAGUGACUCUUACACUUGACUUAUAGAACUCUAUGGAUGUUCAGGUGGGAGGACAAUAAAUUGGGGUUUUCCUGGC